Camelina sativa (false flax) is the source of this 433-nucleotide long non-coding RNA. RefSeq lists it as uncharacterized. The record is from RefSeq and is a predicted model, not a curated record. NCBI's taxonomy places the organism in Eukaryota, Viridiplantae, Streptophyta, Magnoliopsida, Brassicales, Brassicaceae.
GGGGCAGUUCCAUCAUUUAAGAUUAAAGAAUGGCUUGUGAUAGUUCUUCUUUUUUUGGACGCAUUGUCUGUAUCACGUAUCCCUCGGAUUGCACCUUAUAUAUCUAACAGAGACAAGAUUUUGGAAGGAAGUGGAAUAGGAAACGAAGAGUAUGAGACAAUGAAGGAUAUCCUGUUACCACUAGGCCGCGUUCCUCAGUUUGCUACCCGAAGCGGAGCGUAGACAAAGCCACCGUUUGGUAGAAGAAAUCAACUUAAGAAAUAUGAAAAUAGAGGAGUAUAAUUUUGAAGCCAUUUGAUGUUGAGUAAGAUCUUCAAGUCACUUAGAACAAAGAUUUGUCGCAUUUCAAUUUUAUAAAUGGUUUACAGACUUUGUGCUGUUCCUUUUGUAAAAAUUUGUUAUAUAAAAAACAUCACUUACUCUUCUUCUUGUA